Chenopodium quinoa (quinoa) is the source of this 376-nucleotide long non-coding RNA. RefSeq lists it as uncharacterized. NCBI's taxonomy places the organism in Eukaryota, Viridiplantae, Streptophyta, Magnoliopsida, Caryophyllales, Amaranthaceae. The record is from RefSeq and is a predicted model, not a curated record. The transcript is spliced from 4 exons.
CAAGAAAGCGCCUCGUGAAAUCCAUACUGCAAAAUGUUAUGAAAAAGAUAAAUUCUCGAGCUCCUACAUGGAAAUCACCGAUGUCCGCACAACAAGAUAACGAAGUUGAUUGUGGCCUAUACGUGAUGAGAUUCAUAUUUGACAUAGUGAGUCAUUGUACAGACACACAACAGCUUGAAGAGUUUUGCAAGGGACAAACGGGAAAUCCGUUCACGAGCAAGGAACUCAAUGUAAUUCGAGACAUGUUGGCGGUCUACAUCACAUUUAAUUUGUAAACAUCAUUUAUUUCUGUUUUAACUAUCUUAUUGUACUACAUUAUUACUAAUUAAUUAUGUUUGUUUGUAGUUAUGACACAUUUUUCUAAUUAAUAUCAUAU